AGCCGGGUGGUGAUACACGCUAGAGUGCAAAUCUAGAGACGCACACCCAAAGGUGUGCCUCGGCUU
RNAcentral lists this transfer RNA (66 nucleotides) under Ablepharus pannonicus. Its description in RNAcentral is "tRNA-Cys". The record is from RNAcentral. Lineage: Eukaryota; Metazoa; Chordata; Lepidosauria; Squamata; Scincidae.